UGCGUAGGUGGUUUGGUAAGUUAUCUGUGAAAUCCCUGGGCUCAACCUGGGCAGGUCAGAUAAAACUGCUGGACUCGAGUAUGGGAGAGGGUAGUGGAAUUUCCGGUGUAGCGGUGAAAUGCGUAGAGAUCGGAAGGAACACCAGUGGCGAAGGCGGCUACCUGGCCUAAUACUGACACUGAGGCACGAAAGCGUGGGGAAGCAAACA
Molecule: ribosomal RNA, 208 nt
Filed under: uncultured bacterium
Lineage: Bacteria
Description: partial 16S ribosomal RNA
Rfam family: Bacterial small subunit ribosomal RNA
Source: RNAcentral